GUUUAAUUCGAUGGUAAGCGAAGAACCUUACCCAGGCUUGACAUCCUUGGAAUCUUUCCGAAAGGAGAGAGUGCAAUUUGAACCAAGUGACAGGUGAUGCAUGGCCGUCGUCAGCUCGUGUCGUGAGAUGUUUGGUUAAGUCCAUCAACGAGCGCAACCCUUGUGAGUAGUUGAAUUUUUCUACUCAGACUGCCCUGGUAACAGGGAGGAAGGGGGGGAUGAUGUCAGGUCA
Molecule: ribosomal RNA, 232 nt
Filed under: Pycnococcus provasolii
Lineage: Eukaryota; Viridiplantae; Chlorophyta; Pseudoscourfieldiophyceae; Pseudoscourfieldiales; Pycnococcaceae
Description: partial Bacterial small subunit ribosomal RNA
Rfam family: Bacterial small subunit ribosomal RNA
Source: RNAcentral